RNAcentral lists this ribosomal RNA (774 nucleotides) under uncultured Neocallimastigales. Its description in RNAcentral is "partial large subunit ribosomal RNA". It matches the Rfam family "Eukaryotic large subunit ribosomal RNA", at positions 24 to 650 of the family's 3401-position model. Lineage: Eukaryota; Fungi; Neocallimastigomycota; Neocallimastigomycetes; Neocallimastigales. The record is from RNAcentral.
UAUCUCUGUAGAGUCUGCAUAUCAAUAAGCGGAGGAAAAGAAACUAACAAGGAUUCCCUUAGUAACGGCGAGUGAAGCGGGAAGAGCUCAAAUUUGAAAUCUUCAAGGUUUUACCUUGACGAAUUGUAGUUUGAAGAAGUGUUUUCUGUUGAAGUUUUGGUAAAAGUUCUUUGGAAUAGGACAUCAUAGAGGGUGAGAAUCCCGUAUUUGACCAUUAUUUUCAGCUGUGUGAUACACUUUCAAAGAGUCGGAUUGUUUGGGAAUGCAGUCCAAAAUGGGUGGUAAAUUUCAUCUAAAGCUAAAUAUUGGCGAGAGACCGAUAGCGAACAAGUACCGUGAGGGAAAGAUGAAAAGAACUUUGAAAAGAGAGUUAAACAGUACGUGAAAUUGUCAAAAGGGAAGCGUUUAACACCAGUGUUGUUUUCCUCGAAAAUCAAUUAAAAAGAGUUUGAUUUUGUUGUGUAUUGACCUUAACAGCUUGCAUUUCAAUUUUCUUGCUUUUUUUAAUGCACUUUUCGUUUAACAAGUCAACAUCAGUUUCUUUUGUUGUAAAAAGGUCAUUGGAAGGUGGCUUUCUUUUCGGAGAAAGUGUUUAUAGCCUUUGACUCCUGCAAUCGGAGAGACUGAGGUCUGCAGCGUAGAUCCUUCGGGGUUAGAUACAUUUGUGCUAAGUUAUAGCCUUUUAUAGACAACUUGUUGACUAUGAUUAGUCUUGUAGCUUACUCGCUUAUGCUAUUUUACCUACGCUUAGGAUGUUGAAGAUAUGCGCGACAC